Molecule: ribosomal RNA, 202 nt
Filed under: uncultured bacterium
Lineage: Bacteria
Description: partial 16S ribosomal RNA
Rfam family: Bacterial small subunit ribosomal RNA
Source: RNAcentral
UACAGAGGGUGCGAGCGUUGUCCGGAAUCACUGGGCGUAAAGGGCGCGUAGGUGGCGUCGCAAGUCGAUGGUGAAAGCUCGGCGCUCAACGCCGAGUCGGCCCUUGAUACUGCGAGGCUGGAGCACUGUAGAGGCUAAUGGAAUUCCGGGUGUAGCGGUGGAAUGCGUAGAGAUCCGGAAGAACACCGGUGGCGAAGGCGGU